UAAAAAUACAGACCCUUCAUCUUUCCCCUUUCUCUCUCUUUUCCUCUCACCUUCUCUCUCUUCCCCCUCUUUCUCUAAACCUAUUAACGGCGCUGCCAGUCACCGUCGUCACCUGCCAGUUACUGUCGCCGCCAUCUGCCAUUGCCGUCGCCGGCCUAUCUGACAAUCUGAGAUGGAAUCUCGUAGUUGGAUGUAUAAUAGGACAAAUGACGGCCGAUGGGGGAUGAGGCAAGAAUUUGUAGAUGGUGUCGAUGCUUUUGUUGACUAUGCAAUGACACUUGAAACUUUUCUAAGUCAUGGUUUGGUUAGGUGCCCUUGUGUGAAAUGUAAAUGUAGAAAUUAUGAGACACCAGAGAUUGUUAGGCUUCAUCUCUAUAAAGACGGCUUUGAAAAAGAUUACACAGUAUGGAUUGGUCAUGGAGAAACGGAUAGUCGUUUUGGUAGAUUUCAAGACUUUAUUGUUGGUGAAAGUAGUAGGGCGGUGGAACCUAAUGUCCAAAAUUCUAGAAUGCACGACAUGGUUCAAGAUGCUUAAGGGAUGCAUUCCAAUUUUGAAUCCGGUAACCAUGAUGAAGAAGCUCCAAAUGAGGAAGCUAGUCGUUUUUUUUGAACAGUUGAAAAAUGCUAGUCGGCCUUUAUAUGACCGGAGUCCCCACUCUCAAUUAUCUAUUGUUGUUAGAUUAUUAAGCAUCAAAGCAUAUUGGAAUGUUCCUCAAGGUGCAAUGGAUGCUGUGAUUGGCCUUAUACAUGAAUUAGUUGACCCGAAUUUAGAGAUACCUGAAAAUUACUAUAAGACAAAAAGAUUAGUGUCUAAGUUAGGACUCUUGUCGAUGAGAAUUGAUUGUUGUGAAAAUGGAUGCAUGUUAUACUAUAAGGAUGACGAAGGUCUAGAAUCUCGUAAGCUUUGUGAAAGAGCUCGUUUUAAGCGGACUCGUAGCGGGAAGAGGGUUGCCGUUAAGGUGAUGCAUUACUUACCUCUUACACCAAGGUUAAAGAGGUUGUACGCAUCAAAUAGCUCCGCUCCUUAUAUGAGAUGGCACCUGAAAAUAGAAGGCCGCCUGGUGUUAUGUGCCAUCCAUCAGACGGAGAGGCUUGGAAGCAUUUUGACACAACAUAUCCAGACUUUGCGGCUGAACCACAGAACAUUAGGUUGGGUUUAUGUUCACAUGGAUUCACUCCACAUUCUGUUUCUGCUGCACCAUAUUCUUGCUGGCCUGUUUUCUUAACACCAUAUAAUCUUCCACCUGAGUUGUGUAUGACUAAUCCAUAUAUAUUCCUUAAUUGCAUCAUUCCUGGCCCACGUAAUCCAAAAGUUUUGAUUGAUGUAUAAUUGCAACCUUUGAUUGAUGAGUUGAAAAUGUUGUGGGUUGAAGGGGUUGAGACGUUUAACGUUUCUCUUAAGCAAAAUUUUAAUUUGCGGGCCACUUUAAUGUGGACUAUUAAUGAUUUUCCUGCCUACGAGAUGUUGUCUGGGUGGAUGACUGCUGGAAAGUUAGCCUGUCCUUACUACAUGGAGAAUACUAAAUCGUUCGCUUUAAAGCACGACAAAAAAAAUUCAUGGUUUGAUUGUCACCGUCAGUUCUUGCCAAUGGAUCAUGAGUUUAGGAGUAUGAAAAAUGCAUUUAGGAAGAACACAAUUGAACAAAACUAUCCACCUCCAAGACUUUCAGGAGAGGAAAUUUGGGAGAGGGUUGAGAAUUUUCCGAAAGUUACUGAAGAACCACCGUACACGUUCGAUGAGUAUGGGCUUGCACAUAACUGGAUCAAAUAGAGCAUAUUUUGGGAGUUACCAUAUUAGAAGGAUAAUCUUCUCCGGCAUAAUCUUGAUGUCAUGCAUAUUGCCAAAAAUACUUUGAUAAUUUGUUCAACACAGUGAUGGAUGUCAAAGGCAAGACAAAAGAUAAUCCAAAAGCUAGAUUGGACUUACAGGAAUAUUGUAGGCGUAAAGAGUUAUAGUUGCAAGACAAACGGAACGGGGUAUUCAAGCCUAAGGCUAGUUAUUCAUUCACAAUGGAUCAGAAGCGAAAGAUUUGUGAAUGGGUUCAGAACUUGAAGAUGCCUGAUGGGUAUGCAUCAAAUUUGGAAAAACGUGUUGAUAUGGCGCAAGGAAAGUUACAUGGGAUGAAAAGCCAUGAUUGUCAUGUUUUCAUGGAAACUUUACUCCCCAUUGCAUUUAGUGGCUUGCCUACCCAAAUCUGGAAGCCUAUGACAGAAAUUAGUUUGUUCUUUAAAGACUUGUGUUCCAGCAUGUUGAGGGUAGGCAACCUGGAUCGGAUGCAUCAGAAUAUUCCUGUAAUAACAAGUAAGUUGGAGAAAAUUCUUCCACCGGAGUUCUUCGAUGUGAUGGAACAUCUUCCAAUUCACCUUGCGGAGGAAGCCUGACUCGGAGGCCCAGUUUAUUGUCGUUGGAUGUAUCCCUUCGAGAGAACUAUUAGCAAGUCUAAACGGGGUAUCAAGCAGGAACAUAGAGUUGAAGGCUCAAUUUGCGAAGCCUAUCUUGCUAAGGAAACAACUCAUUUCUGUUCUUACUACUUUGGGGAUGAUGUGCCAUGCUUGCGAAACAGACCCAAUCGACAUUUUGAAGGAGGUGAGAAUGAUGCUUUAGCGAAGCAGAUAUCAAUCUUCAAUCGACCGGGUUUGGGUUCAAAAAAACGUACAAGAGAAUUUAAUGAUAUGGAGUCUAAAUCUUCAUCGAUACAUGUCUUGCUGAAUUUCCCGGAAGUUCAACGAUAUUAUGAAUACCUCAACGAGGACAUUCUUCGAGCCAUUUCGACAUGUAAGAGAUCUGAGUUUUCCUGGGAAAGCUGUGGGUGUGAAAGUUGGAGGCGUUGCUCCUGCUGAAGCUGCUCCAGCUAAGUAUUAAUAGGAUCAGACACCAGUUGCAACUGCUGUCCUGCAUUGCCUUUUUGCUGCUGCUGUGUUCCUGAUUUUCGUUGUUGAGAGUACUGUGUAGAUUCCUCAUCCAGAUGGCAGGUGAAAAGAGGGGUAAGAAAACAAAGAAGGCUAAGGAGAUGGGGGUUCCCCAGAGACCACCAGAAAACCUUGCGAUUAAAGAUAGAAGCCCGUCGCCAUGUCUCCCACCACGCGGCACUCCAUUGCUUCAUGAUCCCCUCAUGAAUGGCAUUGCAUAUAGUCUUCCACCUCCACACAGCUUUGGUACGCCCUAUAUGGCUCCACACCAGGGCUUUACUGAGGUGCCUCUCCAGAGCCCCUCAAUGAUGUCCACACCAGGUUAUGCUACCCCACAGGGUUUCACUCGGUAUACUCCCGGAUCUCAGGGGGCUGUGUCUAGUGGUACUUCGACGGCCACUCCCAGCCCGACUGCAUCACAUCACUCUUCAUCAUCUACUGAACAGUAUGACAUUACAGGUCCUGACCUUCGAGAAAGUAGUUCUGUGCCUCACACUCCUACUGCGAAUGACUCACUUGAAGGUGUAAGUGCUCCACAGCUUGAAUCUUAUGACUCAUCAUGGCGACUCAUCAUUGAGCCUACGGGAUACGGUUGGUUAUCGGACAAAGCUUCAAGUCUCCUUACAGAUGAGAUACAAAAACUAUUUAAAGACUCACCUACUUGGGGCCAGAUGUCACCAAAUCACCAAGAAAAAUCUAUUAUGCGUUUAAGGAAAAAUAUGUCUGGCGCGGGGAACAUGAGAAGCAGCUAACUAAAAAUUUCAAGAAGAAAGUUCAGCCCUUACUAUGUGACAUGUUAGGAAGGGUUCGUCAAUCUCACAAGAAGCCUAAGUGGAUCCUUCCUGAAAACUAUAACAAGCUACUUCAUUACUGGGCAACUAAUAAAGAUUCUUACAACUGAGUGACAUAGGAAAGAAGGAUAGAAAUUCGACAAAGGGUGGCUCCCUACACACUAGUGGGGCUAUGAGUCAAGAGGCUGUGAGCAGGAAGCUGGCAAGUCUACAUUAACUCUACUUGAAGGAUUGUGAAUUUACUUUAUUUUCUUUAUGUCUUAUCAAUUUAUUCUUUUGCAAGAACUAAAAUGGGGAACGCCAGUGCCUCAAGAUGAGGCGUUCAAGAUCACCCACGUGAAGAAGAAGGCAAACGCUAAUGAUCCAGAUCACUGGUGUGAGGAACGGGCUAAGCAGACCUACACUUGUAGGUUUGUAUUAAGUCCAUAACACAACAGAGUGUUUCUGCAUUUUUAGCCGUUUCAUUUAGUUUUUAAAUUACUUAAAGUCCAAAGUUAAUCUGGACCUGGGGUGCAAAGAUGAAUUUCGUGAUAAUAUGGAGUCCAAUGUAGAUUUCCAAAUAAAAGACGAAGCACAAAGGUUGGCUUUCCCUGAAUGCAAGUUGAUAUUGAAGGAAAGUCGGAAAUUGUUAGUAGUAUUGAUUUGCUUUCCUUUUAGUAGUAUUGAUUUCAACCAUGUUUUAGUUGAAUUGUUAGUAGUAUUGAUUUGAACCAUGUUCUAUUUUGGUUGUUUACUAAAUGUUUGAUAGUUUUUUCUGUUGAAUUCGAGAUUUAAGUUGGUUGCUAAUGUUACCUUUUUAUUUCACAAUCAAUAUCAGCAUUCAAAGGUGGAGUUUCUUCAUACUCAUCCACCCAACACAUAGCUGACAGAAGAACAAAUGGAGGAAAGGUGGCUUGGGAGUGUUGGUGGUCCCACUAGGUUUGGCACAACAUACGGAAUGCCACAUCGUGCAUUUCGUCAAUACAGGUCGCCCCUGGAAAGCCUACAUUCUUCCAAUACCGAGUCGUUCGAUAGAGUGAGUGCUAUGGCCAUGGAGCAAAAGAUUGCUGAGCUAUCUAGCCAGCUACAGGCCUUGGAGGAAAGGGAGAGGCGGAGGGAAGUGCAGUUUGACGGUAUGAGGGCCCAAUUAGACGCAUUACUUGCUUCGAGGGGGAUUCCCUCGUGUCCUAAUGAUGCUCGUAACCCCCAUACUCAAUCUAGUGGUGGGGAUGAUGAUGGGACUCACGUGUCAAACACAUAAAGGCAUGUUUGAAUGUUAAUGUUGUGGUGGAUUUGUGGAUUGUGUAAGUGUUUUGUGGAUGUUUGCGAGGGGUGAAGUAGUCUAAUGUUGUAGACUAACUUAGUGUAGACUAGUUUAAUGUUUUGUGGAUGUUUACAAAUGUUGAAGUAAUUUAAUGUUGUUUUGACGUUUGCGAAGGUUGAAGUAGCUUAAUGUCUCUUGUGAAUGUUUGAUUGACGUUUUUAUUCAACUUUGAAGUAGUUUUGAGUUGAAUUUGAUGUAUUGGUGGUUGUAA
This is an RNA transcript of Lycium barbarum (goji berry), 5215 nucleotides long. RefSeq lists it as uncharacterized. The transcript has 10 exons. The record is from RefSeq and is a predicted model, not a curated record. NCBI's taxonomy places the organism in Eukaryota, Viridiplantae, Streptophyta, Magnoliopsida, Solanales, Solanaceae.